UAGGUAAUCUGCCUUUCGGUGGGGGAUAACAAGGGGAAACCCUUGCUAAUACCGCAUAUGGUCCACGGAUCAAAGCCUUCGGGCGCCGGAAGAUGAGCCUGCGGCCGAUUAUUUAGUCCUAGUUGGCGGGGUAACGGCCACCAAGGGUACGAUCGGUAGCUGGUCUGAGAGGACGAUCAGCCACACUGGAACUGAGACACGGUCCAGACUCCUACGGGAGGCAG
Molecule: ribosomal RNA, 224 nt
Filed under: uncultured bacterium
Lineage: Bacteria
Description: partial 16S ribosomal RNA
Rfam family: Bacterial small subunit ribosomal RNA
Source: RNAcentral